UUAUAAUGAAACGGUAAUGAU
RNAcentral lists this microRNA (21 nucleotides) under Dictyostelium discoideum. Its description in RNAcentral is "ddi-miR-7100". The record is from miRBase by way of RNAcentral. Lineage: Eukaryota; Evosea; Eumycetozoa; Dictyosteliales; Dictyosteliaceae.